Molecule: small RNA, 28 nt
Filed under: Bombyx mori (domestic silkworm)
Lineage: Eukaryota; Metazoa; Arthropoda; Insecta; Lepidoptera; Bombycidae
Description: ovarian small RNA-23209
Source: RNAcentral
UAGUUUAUCUAAAUAAGAGGUGAUGCAU